Molecule: long non-coding RNA, 2324 nt
Organism: Oncorhynchus keta (chum salmon)
Lineage: Eukaryota; Metazoa; Chordata; Actinopteri; Salmoniformes; Salmonidae
Exons: 3
Source: RefSeq, a predicted model, not a curated record
GGAGCAGAGUGAGCAGAUGCGUAAGAUGCAAAGAUGACAGUGUUUUAUUUAAUUAUGUUUAGGUAACUGGGUCAUAUUCAUUAGGGCACACCGUUGCAAAACGUAGUAGAACAUUUUGUAAAUAAAAACAAUUACUACAACAGCCUUACUACAACAACAAAAAUUGUGGCAAAGUUCAAACUUGCCACAAAAUGUUGCCAGAAGUUUGCAAAUGUUUGCCACUAGUGCUGAAUCAGCGGGAAACAUUUGUCAACAAUAAUAUUUAUUGCCAAUAGUGGCAAACAGUUUGCCAGAGUUUUUUUCUGGCAAACAAUUCGCUCAAGAUUGUAUUUGAAUCUGUGGCAAACCCAUAAACAUUAAGAGAAAACCUGUGGCAACAAUAAAUAUUGUUGCCAUUUCUGUUAAACAUUGAGUUCCAAGACGAGAAACCGUUGAUGACGACCAGUCAGAGGGAGAAGAAACAUUUGUUGGAAAAUGGAUACCAAGCUAUCUAGCUACCUACCAAAGUUGUCUGGUUAGUAGCAACCCCAGCAAGUCAAACUAGUGGCUCAGCCUUCAAUAAGCCCGAGCAAGACUAGAGCAACACGAAGAAUCCAUCCAUUCCAGACCGACCUUAAUCCACUAUCAAGGUCAGGUCAGGAGCAACAUGGAACUGUGGAUGCUACUAUUGUCAACUACCUAUGCUAACUUCAUCUUACUAUGCACAUUCGAGAGCAUCCUGUCAGGCUGUAUCGCAGCCUGGUACGGCAACUGCUCCGCCCACAACCGCGAGGCUCUCCAAAGGGUGGUGCAGUCUGCACAACGCAUCACCGGGGGCAAACUACCUGCCCUCCAGGACACCUACAGCACCCGAUGUCACAGGAAGGCCAAAAAGAUCAAAGGCAACAACCACCCGAGCCACUGCCUGUUCACCCCACUACCAUCCAGAAGGCGAUGUCAGUACAGGUGCAUCAAAGUAGGGACCGAGAGAGUGAAAAACAACUUCUAUCUCAAGGCCAUUUGAUUUGAUCCUGACCACAAAAAACGUGGCUGAAAUGAAAUCCACAAUAGCCUAACCCUGAGAAAUGGGAUUUCCCCCUAGGGUGGUUGGAUUUAGGAGAGGCGGCAAUCUGCAGGCUUCCUCCACUUAAAAGCAGACCAUCCAUGUUGUUUUCUUCUGUCCAUUAUAUUGCACACAGCUGAAACAUGGGAUAUGUCAUUCAUAAUAUAGGUUAUUUAACACAUUUUGCAUUAAUAGUGAUUGACAAUCCACCACACUUUGAGGAAACAUGCAAAAACGUCAAACAAGGUCAAACAAAUACAAAGUGGACACUUUAUUUUACAAAUUAAUCCGUUUCUGUUUAUUAUUUUUUUCAUAUAUUGAUUUUUUUCUCAUUUAGACAAAGACUCAAAAUGUCAAUAACAAUGGCUAUAAUGUGAUAGAAGACAACAUAAAAUGAGAUCCAAUAUACAGCAUAUAGACAUUAAAUACGUAUUGAAACAAACACCAAAAAGGAGAAUGUAAAACAACAAAAUAAACAUUUGAGUAAAAAAAAACAAGGUACAAGUCAGGGAAAAGCAUUGGUGUUUCAGCUGAAGUUCCCGCUCAAUGUCUAAAAGUGACACACAAUCAUUAAAGCCUUCUAUCCAAAAACCAUUGGUCGUCUUUCGUCGUCAGAGAAUAGAACAGCCAAUCAGUCACACUUUACAUCCAAGGGAAGGGGAUAGUAGUACACGUAUGUCACGUCUAGAAAAUAAUUACGGUGACGGCAUUCUGAGUAGAAUGACGGUUUUAAGGUAUGGCAGUGUAAAAAGUGCUGAUUCUCCCAUACUGAGGGAAUGAAGAUCAUCCCAACCCCACAUUCAUUGUGCUGGAGUACAGUAUAGCAUCAUUAUCAGAAUCCACCUGCAAAUCUCUAGUCAUAUGUUCAAGACACAAGAACCAGUCUUAUCCAGGGCUAUACAUGAAUUCUCCACUAGUCUUUCCUCCUUUCGCUAAAUAAAUUCAUGUAAACGACAAGUAGAGUGAUGUUCAAUGUAAGGAUGUUGAGGAUGCCUAGACCUGUUUCUCUAUCAGUGUGUGUGUGUGUGUGUGUGUGUGUGUGUGUGUGUGUGUAAAUCCUUGAACCCAAGAGACCCAAACAGACAGGCCCACAGAGCAGUCAGUAGCAAGGAGCCAUUCUACAUUGCGGGACAGGGACCUACUGGAUGGUGCAUACAAGAGGAGAGACUAAGACCACGAAGUAACUUUGACUGAAUAUAAAAAUAACCGUUUCUUGCUGUUCCAAUGUCAUUUCUCAAUGAUUUUUUUUUUUAAACGACUGGGAAUACAUUCUAUGCUAUAA